ACACGCGUGGUGAAACGGUAUCAGGCUUGUCUUCCAAUGCGUUAGCAAGCGGUUCGGGUUUGACUCCCGGUACGUGUA
This 78-nucleotide transfer RNA is filed under the name Sphaerobolus stellatus SS14. It matches the Rfam family "tRNA". Rfam says of the family: Transfer RNA (tRNA) molecules are approximately 80 nucleotides in length. Their secondary structure includes four short double-helical elements and three loops (D, anti-codon, and T loops). The record is from Rfam by way of RNAcentral. Lineage: Eukaryota; Fungi; Basidiomycota; Agaricomycetes; Geastrales; Sphaerobolaceae.